AUUGAACGCUGGCGGCAGGCCUAACACAUGCAAGUCGAACGGUAACAGGAAGAAGCUUGCUUCUUUGCUGACGAGUGGCGGACGGGUGAGUAAUGUCUGGGAAACUGCCUGAUGGAGGGGGAUAACUACUGGAAACGGUAGCUAAUACCGCAUAACGUCGCCAGACCAAAGAGGGGGACCUUCGGGCCUCUUGCCAUCGGAUGUGCCCAGAUGGGAUUAGCUAGUAGGUGGGGUAACGGCUCACCUAGGCGGCGAUCCCUAGCCGAUCUGAGGGGAGGACCGGCCACCCGGGAAGUGGAACGGCGUCCAGGCGCCUUAGGGACGGACCAGUGGGGUAUGGUGGGCAAUAGGGGGGAAGCUGAUGCAGCCAUGCCGCGUGUAUGAAGAAGGCCUUCGGGUUGUAAAGUACUUUCAGCGGGGAGGAAGGGAGUAAAGUUAAUACCUUUGCUGAUUGACGUUACCCGCAGAAGAAGCACCGGCUAACUCCGUG
Molecule: ribosomal RNA, 490 nt
Filed under: uncultured bacterium
Lineage: Bacteria
Description: partial 16S ribosomal RNA
Rfam family: Bacterial small subunit ribosomal RNA
Source: RNAcentral